Molecule: ribosomal RNA, 517 nt
Filed under: uncultured bacterium
Lineage: Bacteria
Description: bacterial SSU rRNA
Rfam family: Bacterial small subunit ribosomal RNA
Source: RNAcentral
GAGUUUGAUCCUGGCUCAGGAUGAACGCUGGCGGCGUGCUUAACACAUGCAAGUCGAACGGGAAACCUUUUAUUGAAGCUUCGGCAGAUUUAGAUUGUUUCUAGUGGCGGACGGGUGAGUAACGCGUGGGUAACCUGCCUUAUACAGGGGGAUAACAGUCAGAAAUGACUGCUAAUACCGCAUAAGCGCACAGAGCUGCAUGGCUCGGUGUGAAAAACUCCGGUGGUAUAAGAUGGACCCGCGUUGGAUUAGCUUGUUGGUGGGGUAACGGCCCACCAAGGCGACGAUCAGUAGCCGACCUGAGAGGGUGACCGGCCACAUUGGGACUGAGACACGGCCCAAACUCCUACGGGAGGCAGCAGUGGGGAAUAUUGCACAAUGGGGGAAACCCUGAUGCAGCAACGCCGCGUGAAGGAAGACGGUUUUCGGAUUGUAAACUUCUGUUCUUAGUGAAGAAUAAUGACGGUAGCUAAGGAGCAAGCCACGGCUAACUACGUGCCAGCCGCCGCGGUAAUUC